AUCCCUUUGAUGCUCCCACGGAAGCAAGGGAUUAUUGUUAACAUGUCUUCCGGAUGGGGAAGAUCUGGUGCUGCCCUGGUGAGUUUCAGUCUUCACUUAAUUGAAUCACCAUAGUAUGUUUGUUCGUAUAGUUACAGAAACGUAGUAACAAAGACAGUAAAACAUAGUAGGAUUUUUUUUGAAUUUAAUUUCUAGCUAGACUUUGUUCGGAUGUGGAAAUGAUGUUGGAUACCUCUCUAAUAAGUUUAAGUGAAGCCGGAACCUUGUCACUGAUGUCGGAGUAAACAUUCCAAAGUUAUCAUAUAUGGAAUGAGGAAACACGGUGAAUUGAUAACAUAGAGCAAAUUACUUGGUUGGUCCCCUUUGUCAUUGUAGAUAACUUUGUUCUGACAGUCUCCUUCUGUACUCUGCAUUUCUGCACUGCACGUAUAUGAUUUUGGGCGUAUCAUCAAACCUGAUCCUAAAGAGGUUAACUUUUGAAAACAUAACUGAAUCUGCAGGUUGCACCUUACUGUGCAUCGAAAUGGGCGAUUGAGGGUUUAAGCCGAUCAGUGGCAAAGGAGGUAGCCGAAGGAAUGGCAGUGGUUGCAUUAAA
RNAcentral lists this long non-coding RNA (595 nucleotides) under Brassica rapa (field mustard). RNAcentral's name for it is "long non-coding RNA (BRAP_LNC006189)". The record is from RNAcentral. Lineage: Eukaryota; Viridiplantae; Streptophyta; Magnoliopsida; Brassicales; Brassicaceae.